This 247-nucleotide long non-coding RNA is filed under the name Hordeum vulgare. Its description in RNAcentral is "long non-coding RNA (HVUL_LNC006122)". Lineage: Eukaryota; Viridiplantae; Streptophyta; Magnoliopsida; Poales; Poaceae. The record is from RNAcentral.
AAGGAAACCAGGUGCAUUGUCAUUUCCAUUAGUUGAACCACCUCGUGAUGAUUCUAACCUCCAAAAAUUUCCACGUGCAACAACUGAACUAUCAACAGUGUGGUGCCUUGUAUUGUACAUUGCCGAGACAUUUACAGUCCCCUACAUCAUCAUCAUUACAGGUGUUAUGAUGUGUACUUGAGCAUAUUGAAUGUGUUUCAGCACCGGCGACCCAGUACAAUUACACUCUAAACCCGUACAAAAACCC